UACAACAGCCAUUGUUUCUUGGAUCUUACUUUCUACUUGGAUAACUGUGGUAAUUCUAGAGCUAAUACACGCAUACAAAUUCUGACGCAAGGAGGAAUGCAUUUAUUAGAACUAAACCAAUCGGGCUUGCCCGUUGCUUGGUGAAUCUGAAUAACUCUGCAGAUCGCAUGGUCUAGCACCGGCGACAUAUCUUUCAAGUGUCUGCCUUAUCAACUUUCGAUGGUAGUUUAUGUGACUACCAUGGUUGUUACGGGUAACGGAGAAUUAGGGUUCGACUCCGGAGAGGGAGCCUGAGAAACGGCUACCACAUCCAAGGAAGGCAGCAGGCGCGCAAAUUACCCACUCUCGGCACGAGGAGGUAGUGACGAAAAAUAACAAGACAGUUCUCUUUGAGGUCUGUCAUUGGAAUGGGUACAACCCAAACCCUUUAACGAGGAUCUAUUGGAGGGCAAGUCUGGUGCCAGCAGCCGCGGUAAUUCCAGCUCCAAUAGCGUAUAUUAAAGUUGUUGCGGUUAAAAAGCUCGUAGUUGGAUCUCUGGUCUUGUCGGCUGGUCUCCCUCAGGGUUGUACUGGUCGGUGGACCCGAACUGCUAGUUUUCCAUGUGUGCUCUUUAUUGGGUGCAUAUGGUGGCUAGCGCAUUUACUUUGAAAAAAUUAGAGUGCUCAAGGCAGGCUUAUGCCUGAAUAGUGGUGCAUGGAAUAAUGGAAUAGGACGUCAGUUCUAUUUGUUGGUUCAGAAUUUGACGUAAUGAUUAAGAGGGACAGACGGGGGCAUUCGUAUUGCUACGUU
This 790-nucleotide ribosomal RNA is filed under the name Calomicrolaimus sp. PRESS4VF. Its description in RNAcentral is "SSU rRNA". It matches the Rfam family "Eukaryotic small subunit ribosomal RNA", at positions 102 to 906 of the family's 1831-position model. The record is from RNAcentral. Lineage: Eukaryota; Metazoa; Nematoda; Chromadorea; Desmodorida; Microlaimidae.